UAUUUUGAAUUGACAUAGACCAAGUCCUCUAGUAAAAUGAGGAUGAUGCAUCGGGAAUAGCC
RNAcentral lists this transfer RNA (62 nucleotides) under Tetrastigma erubescens. Its description in RNAcentral is "partial tRNA-Phe". The record is from RNAcentral. RNAcentral also lists the same sequence under 1 other name. Lineage: Eukaryota; Viridiplantae; Streptophyta; Magnoliopsida; Vitales; Vitaceae.